RNAcentral lists this transfer RNA (73 nucleotides) under Camelus bactrianus (Bactrian camel). It matches the Rfam family "tRNA". From Rfam's summary of the family: Transfer RNA (tRNA) molecules are approximately 80 nucleotides in length. Their secondary structure includes four short double-helical elements and three loops (D, anti-codon, and T loops). Further hydrogen bonds mediate the characteristic L-shaped molecular structure. tRNAs have two regions of fundamental functional importance: the anti-codon, which is responsible for specific mRNA codon recognition, and the 3' end, to which the tRNAs corresponding amino acid is attached (by aminoacyl-tRNA synthetases). tRNAs cope with the degeneracy of the genetic code in two manners: having more than one tRNA (with a specific anti-codon) for a particular amino acid; and 'wobble' base-pairing, i.e. permitting non-standard base-pairing at the 3rd anti-codon position. The record is from Rfam by way of RNAcentral. Lineage: Eukaryota; Metazoa; Chordata; Mammalia; Artiodactyla; Camelidae. RNAcentral also lists the same sequence under 2 other names.
GAGAGUAUAGCUCAGUGGUUAGAACACACGCUUAGCAUGCAUGAGGUCCUGGGUUCAGUCCCCAGUACCUCCA